Molecule: long non-coding RNA, 1310 nt
Filed under: Numida meleagris (helmeted guineafowl)
Lineage: Eukaryota; Metazoa; Chordata; Aves; Galliformes; Numididae
Description: lncRNA (ENSNMEG00000010879.1)
Source: RNAcentral
ACAAAUAUGACUUCAUCCCUAAAUACUUACCCAAUAGGCUAGUAUUACGGUGUACGUCAGUGAUGCAUAGGAAGUAUUUUCUUUGCAGGCAACGCAUUCACGUAGCUAUUGCUAUAGUUUCAGCUCUACCACCUGAGAAGAACAAAAAGCUUUUCUGUCUUCAGUGAGCUGGCUUCUCUCUUUGAGGGUAGAAUUUCAUCCUUAAUAUUUCAGUAUUAAACAGAACAAAUUCUACUAAUUUAAGAGUAAUUGUGGAUGCCAGAUGAACAAGGAACACCAGCUUUUUAGACUAUCUUCUACAGUUGUUGGAAGCAUUAUCCAGUUCUGACCAUUUGGCACCUUUGGUUUUAUAGCAUCCUGUUAAAGUGCAAACAGGCAGAAAAUUUGUCCACAAAGGAAAAGGAGGGUAGAUUUUAGCAUCACCUGGGAAUAAUGGCCCUUGUAAAGCAUUUCAUAAUGACUGUCUGAACUCUACUAAUCCACCAUACUCACUGCACUUUAUGGCGAAUCAAACAUGCUUCAUAAAGUCAGGUACUCCAAGCCAUAGCCUUCUGUUCACUAGCAAUUUCCUAUACCUGCUCAGGGCUUCUAAAUAUGGUAUCCGGUAGCUCAGAGAAAUUUUUAACACGCAGGAGACAUUAAUUGUUUUCCUCAACAGGAGAAGCACAGUUGCUGGCUUUGUAUAGAGUACCGUCAAAUAUUGCUCUUGCAUAAAUUUGAGUACAGGUCAUGCUCACCUCCAUCAUAACAGCUAGCAGCAUUCAGAGUAAAAAACAAAACAAACAAAAAAAACCCCAACCCUUUGACUCCAUUGAGGACACAGCCUAAAAAACAGCUCUGAAACAAGACGCACUAUUCCUCCCUUCCACACAAACACACUUCUCCACCCAAAAGUGUCUUUCCCACAGCUGUUUCCCAUGCAUGCAUCUGCCUCCCCUCUGCCUGCUAAGAGAAGAGGUGGCACAGUGAAUAUAGAGCAGAAACACCUGCACGUGUUUCCCAUUGGCUAUUCUCAGCUUGAAGAGCAGGCUUCACAUUUGAGAGAGGUGAGCCCAGCAGGCAAAGAUGCUGGAGAGCUGCUGCAACUGAAUCUCAGGGGGAGGGAGAAGGAUGUCAUCUUUCUGCCAGUGCCAAGCUGCCAGAUACAUGCGGUAGUAUUACGUGCAGCCCACCCCAUACGCAAUACGCUCCCGGGAUGGAGGCGGACGGGGACGCACGGGAAGGCAGCGGGGGCCCUCUGGCGCACCGAAGCGCUCCUGCCUCCACAACGGCACCGUGACGGAAUUGUAAAACCAGCGGCUCGUGAGUGA